RNAcentral lists this ribosomal RNA (484 nucleotides) under uncultured bacterium. RNAcentral's name for it is "partial 16S ribosomal RNA". It matches the Rfam family "Bacterial small subunit ribosomal RNA", at positions 30 to 507 of the family's 1533-position model. The record is from RNAcentral.
AUUGAACGCUGGCGGCAGGCCUAACACAUGCAAGUCGAGCGGAUGAAGGGAGCUUGCUCCUGGAUUCAGCGGCGGACGGGUGAGUAAUGCCUAGGAAUCUGCCUGGUAGUGGGGGAUAACGUCCGGAAACGGGCGCUAAUACCGCAUACGUCCUGAGGGAGAAAGUGGGGGAUCUUCGGACCUCACGCUAUCAGAUGAGCCUAGGUCGGAUUAGCUAGUUGGUGGGGUAAAGGCCUACCAAGGCGACGAUCCGUAACUGGUCUGAGAGGAUGAUCAGUCACACUGGAACUGAGACACGGUCCAGACUCCUACGGGAGGCAGCAGUGGGGAAUAUUCGACAAUGGGCGAAAGCCUGAUCCAGCCAUGCCGCGUGUGUGAAGAAGGUCUUCGGAUUGUAAAGCUCUUUUAGUUGGGAGGAACGUCAGUAAGUUAAUCCCUUGCUGUUUUGACGUUACCUACAGAAUAAGCACCGGCUAACUUCGUG